GCCCCAGUGGCGGAACUGGUAGACGCGCCAGACUCAAAAUCUGGUUCCCGCAAGGGAGUGCCCGUUCGAUCCGGGCCUGGGGCACCA
This 87-nucleotide transfer RNA is filed under the name Hyphomicrobiaceae bacterium. RNAcentral's name for it is "tRNA-Leu". It matches the Rfam family "tRNA". From Rfam's summary of the family: Transfer RNA (tRNA) molecules are approximately 80 nucleotides in length. Their secondary structure includes four short double-helical elements and three loops (D, anti-codon, and T loops). Lineage: Bacteria; Pseudomonadati; Pseudomonadota; Alphaproteobacteria; Hyphomicrobiales; Hyphomicrobiaceae. The record is from RNAcentral.